This 253-nucleotide ribosomal RNA is filed under the name uncultured bacterium. RNAcentral describes it as "partial 16S ribosomal RNA". It matches the Rfam family "Bacterial small subunit ribosomal RNA", at positions 524 to 776 of the family's 1533-position model. The record is from RNAcentral.
UACAGAGGUCCCGAGCGUUGUUCGGAUUCACUGGGCGUAAAGGGUGCGUAGGUGGUGAGGUAAGUCGGAUGUGAAAUCUCCGAGCUCAACUCGGAAAUGGCAUUGGAAACUACCUUGCUUGAGGGUUGGAGGGGGGACUGGAAUACUUGGUGUAGCAGUGAAAUGCGUAGAUAUCGAGUGGAACACCAGUGGCGAAGGCGAGUCCCUGGACAACUCCUGACACUGAGGCACGAAAGCUAGGGGAGCAAACAGG